RNAcentral lists this ribosomal RNA (636 nucleotides) under uncultured bacterium. Its description in RNAcentral is "bacterial SSU rRNA". It matches the Rfam family "Bacterial small subunit ribosomal RNA", at positions 126 to 778 of the family's 1533-position model. The record is from RNAcentral.
CUACCCCCCGGUCUGGGAUAUACGGUGGAAACGCCGGGUAAUACUGGACGUCAUCAUGGAGCGGCAUCGCCUCAUGAUGAAAGAUUUAUCGCCGGGGGAGGGGCCCAUGUCCUAUCAGCUUGUUGGUGAGGUAACGGCUCACCAAGGCUGCGACGGGUAGGGGGUGUGAGAGCAUGGCCCCCGUCACUGGGACUGAGACACUGCCCAGACUCCUACGGGAGGCUGCAGUCGAGAAUCUUCGGCAAUGGGCGAAAGCCUGACCGAGCGACGCCGCGUGGGGGAAGAAGGCCUUCGGGUUGUAAACUCCUGUUGGGGGGGAGGAAUUCCUGACCGAACCCCUGAGGAAGCACGGGCUAAGUUCGUGCCAGCAGCCGCGGUAAGACGAACCGUGCGAACGUUAUUCGGAAUUACUGGGCUUAAAGAGCGCGUAGGCGGUAUCGUAAGUUGGAGGUGAAAUCCCAUCGGCUCAACCGUGGAACUGCCCCCAAUACUGCGGUGCUCGAGGGAGGUAGGGGCAUGUGGAACUUCCGGUGGAGCGGUGAAAUGUGUUGAGAUCGGAAGGAACGCCAGUGGCGAAAGCGACAUGCUGGAUCUUUUCUGACGCUGAGGCGCGAAAGCUAGGGGAGCGAACGGGAU